GAGGAGGAGCUUAUUCGAAAAAUUGUGAAAGAAAAAUAAUGGGGUGCAGGGUUGUGGUGGGAAAAGUGAUGGAGAAAGGUGGCAGGGGAAUGCAAGUGGAUGACAUAUAUUAUCGGAGACAAGAAAGUGGCAAUAGAAAUGCCUUUGCCGGUGAUGAGCAAAACAUGUAACCUUCUCUUUCUAUUAUUAUCCCUUUUCUUUUCUACCAAUUCUAUUUCACUUUCUACCUGCAUUUCUUCAGAAUAUUAUUACUAUUUCUAUUUCUUAUAUUUAUCUUAUACUCUAUUGUCGAAUAAGGGAGUUGAGCUUGACAAGGAGAACAAUAUAAAGAGGGGAG
This 337-nucleotide long non-coding RNA is filed under the name Lupinus angustifolius (narrow-leaved blue lupine). Its description in RNAcentral is "long non-coding RNA (LANG_LNC002529)". Lineage: Eukaryota; Viridiplantae; Streptophyta; Magnoliopsida; Fabales; Fabaceae. The record is from RNAcentral.